GGCCAUGAUUGUUUUCACUCCAAAGUGCCCUUCGGAGGGCAAUAUAUCCCAUUUGGAAUGCACCGUGAGACUGCAGUUUCAUCCAGAG
Molecule: long non-coding RNA, 88 nt
Organism: Sinocyclocheilus rhinocerous
Lineage: Eukaryota; Metazoa; Chordata; Actinopteri; Cypriniformes; Cyprinidae
Exons: 3
Source: RefSeq, a predicted model, not a curated record